GACGAACGCUGGCGGCGUGCCUAAUACAUGCAAGUCGAACGCUUUUUUUUUCACCGGAGCUUGCUCCACCGAAAGAAAAGGAGUGGCGAACGGGUGAGUAACACGUGGGUAACCUGCCCAUCAGAAGGGGAUAACACUUGGAAACAGGUGCUAAUACCGUAUAACAAUCGAAACCGCAUGGUUUCGGUUUGAAAGGCGCUUUUGCGUCACUGAUGGAUGGACCCGCGGUGCAUUAGCUAGUUGGUGAGGUAACGGCUCACCAAGGCAACGAUGCAUAGCCGACCUGAGAGGGUGAUCGGCCACAUUGGGACUGAGACACGGCCCAAACUCCUACGGGAGGCAGCAGUAGGGAAUCUUCGGCAAUGGACGCAAGUCUGACCGAGCAACGCCGCGUGAGUGAAGAAGGUUUUCGGAUCGUAAAACUCUGUUGUUAGAGAAGAACAAGGAUGAGAGUAGAAUGUUCAUCCCUUGACGGUAUCUAACCAGAAAGCCACGGCUAACUACGUGCCAGCAGCCGCGGUAAUACGUAGGUGGCAAGCGUUGUCCGGAUUUAUUGGGCGUAAAGCGAGCGCAGGCGGUUUCUUAAGUCUGAUGUGAAAGCCCCCGGCUCAACCGGGGAGGGUCAUUGGAAACUGGGAAACUUGAGUGCAGAAGAGGAGAGUGGAAUUCCAUGUGUAGCGGUGAAAUGCGUAGAUAUAUGGAGGAACACCAGUGGCGAAGGCGGCUCUCUGGUCUGUAACUGACGCUGAGGCUCGAAAGCGUGGGGAGCAAACAGGAUUAGAUACCCUGGUAGUCCACGCCGUAAACGAUGAGUGCUAAGUGUUGGAGGGUUU
This 833-nucleotide ribosomal RNA is filed under the name Enterococcus avium. Its description in RNAcentral is "bacterial SSU rRNA". It matches the Rfam family "Bacterial small subunit ribosomal RNA", at positions 28 to 833 of the family's 1533-position model. Lineage: Bacteria; Bacillati; Bacillota; Bacilli; Lactobacillales; Enterococcaceae. The record is from RNAcentral.